Molecule: ribosomal RNA, 253 nt
Filed under: uncultured bacterium
Lineage: Bacteria
Description: partial 16S ribosomal RNA
Rfam family: Bacterial small subunit ribosomal RNA
Source: RNAcentral
UACGUAUGGUGCAAGCGUUAUCCGGAAUUACUGGGCGUAAAGGGUGAGUAGGCGGUCGAAUAAGUCAUAUGUGAAAAUCCAGAGCUCAACUCUGGACUUGCAUAAGAAACUGUUUGGCUAGAGUGCAGGAGAGGUAAGCGUAAUUCCUAGUGUAGCGGUGAAAUGCGUAGAUAUUAGGAAGAACACCAGUGGCGAAGGCGGCUUACUGGACUGUAACUGACGCUGAGUCACGAAAGCGUGGGGAGCGAACAGG